AAUCUGUUUUAACAAACUCUCCAUGUGAUUCUGAGGCACUUUAAGAAUUAAGAACCAUUGGUCUAUAGAUCAUGAGUUAGGAGAUAAUCAGAACCACUAGGAGUCAAACCAGGGAGUUUUCUUUCUGUUCCAGUUUUUCUUUUCUGUAUUUGAGGUUAGCAGCCAGGAAUUAACUGGGACAGUUUCCUCGUUCUUUACCUGUCACAGUUGUCCUCAUUAGGAACCAACUGUGACAAUAUCUCCCCUAAGUGUAAGUCUGGAGUGAGCCUGUCAUCUGAUCCUUGCUUGUUGAUUUUUGGCAUAACAUGUGCUCCCAGUGGCACUUGGUGUAGAGAUAACCACUAUUGACACUUACAUUCAAAAAGAGGGAAGAUGGAAGGAGUCCACAGGAAUUCUGAAAUCCAGCCAGAUUUCCCCAUCGCUGGGUCCUUUGCACCAUCCAGAUUUCAGCUUAAAAAUAACAUCUUCAGAGAUAACUUACCCUGACUACCCAAUUUAAAUGAAUACCUGUCAUGUCUUUAUAUCAAAGCAUUCUGUUCUAUUAGACUUCACAAUACUAAUUACCAGCUGAAAUUAAUCUCUUCCAUUUGUUUAUUUAGGUGCUUAUUAUCUGACUAUACAACUUUGGAAGGUACAUUUUAGGAGUAGAGACCUUGCUUGUUUUUCAGUUUGUCUCCCUAAAGCUGAAAAGUGCCUUUGGCAAGCAGACAUUAAAUAUUUGUCACAUAAGUGACUUUAUGACAAAUGUGCCUCUAAGUAAAGAUUCAACUAGUAUGGAAAUACCAUAAUAUUAACUAGCACAUAUUAAUUUACUUAUGAAAUACUGCUCUGGGUAGAUUAU
Long non-coding RNA from Canis lupus familiaris (dog), 841 nucleotides. RefSeq lists it as uncharacterized. Lineage: Eukaryota; Metazoa; Chordata; Mammalia; Carnivora; Canidae. The transcript has 3 exons. The record is from RefSeq and is a predicted model, not a curated record.